Xenopus laevis (African clawed frog) is the source of this 485-nucleotide long non-coding RNA. RefSeq lists it as uncharacterized. The transcript is spliced from 3 exons. Lineage: Eukaryota; Metazoa; Chordata; Amphibia; Anura; Pipidae. The record is from RefSeq and is a predicted model, not a curated record.
AGAGACAGGGUGAAGACUGAACGAAGAGGGAAUGGGUUUGAAAAGGCAUGGAACGCACACUGCGGAAGUGAAACUGAUAGAAAAGUCUGCGCGCGCACUAUAAAUCCGCCUCCAGUCCAUCUCUCCCACAUUCUGAACUUCCGGAAAAGUCCAUAGCUCCUUCCUGUUGCGGAAACGAAGUCUAAGGUCACGUGACGGUUCCUUUGGCCGAUCCUUUACAGCGACGAGAGCGAGCGCUUGGCCGGACUAUCUGCGAUAUAUUUGUGUGUGAGGGUCACUUCCAGGUCAGUCCCUCCCACGAGGAGCCAAUGGGAAUGUGGGAGGAAGCGAGUGACACAGGGAUGAAGGGGAAGGUGGAUAAAAACAAGCGGAACAAGAGAAUCCUGAAUCUGACACUGGAGAUGAUCUAUCUGCUGACUGGAGAGCACUACAUCCCUAGGAAGAAGUCAGAUGAUGGGGGGGCCCUGCAUGCCCCUGGCUCCGUC